CAUGCCGCGUGCAGGAAGACUGCCCUAUGGGUUGUAAACUGCUUUUAUACGGGAAGAAACCCAUCUACGUGUAGAUGGCUGACGGUACCGUAAGAAUAAGCAUCGGCUAACUCCGUGCCAGCAGCCGCGGUAAUACGGAGGAUGCAAGCGUUAUCCGGAAUCAUUGGGUUUAAAGGGUCCGUAGGUGGAUUAGUAAGUCAGAGGUGAAAGCCUGCAGCUCAACUGUAGAACUGCCUUUGAUACUGCUAGUCUUGAAUUAUUGUGAAGUGGUUAGAAUAUGUAGUGUAGCGGUGAAAUGCAUAGAUAUUACAUAGAAUACCAAUUGCGAAGGCAGAUCACUAACAAUAUAUUGACACUGAUGGACGAAAGCGUGGGGAGCGAACGGGAUUAGAUACCCCGGUAGUCCACGCCGUAAACGAUGGUCACUAGCUGUUCGGAUUUCGGUCUGAGUGGCUAAGCGAAAGUGAUAAGUGACCCACCUGGGGAGUACGUUCGCAAGAAUGAAACUCAAAGGAAUUGACGGGGGCCCGCACAAGCGGUGGAGCAUGUGGUUUAAUUCGAUGAUACGCGAGGAACCUUACCAGGGCUUAAAUGUAGAUUGCAUUAGCUAGAGAUAGCUAUUUCUUCGGACUAUCUACAAGGUGCUGCAUGGUUGUCGUCAGCUCGUGCCGUGAGGUGUCAGGUUAAGUCCUAUAACGAGCGCAACCCCUGUUGUUAGUUGCCAGCGAGUAAUGUCGGGAACUCUAGCAAGACUGCCGGUGCAAACCGUG
Molecule: ribosomal RNA, 770 nt
Filed under: Winogradskyella poriferorum
Lineage: Bacteria; Pseudomonadati; Bacteroidota; Flavobacteriia; Flavobacteriales; Flavobacteriaceae
Description: bacterial SSU rRNA
Rfam family: Bacterial small subunit ribosomal RNA
Source: RNAcentral